CCUCCCGUAGCUCAAAGGUAGAGCAUCCGAUUGUGGUUCGGAAGAUCCGGGUUCGAGUCUCGGCGGGUUGA
RNAcentral lists this transfer RNA (71 nucleotides) under Spirosoma telluris. It matches the Rfam family "tRNA". From Rfam's summary of the family: Transfer RNA (tRNA) molecules are approximately 80 nucleotides in length. Their secondary structure includes four short double-helical elements and three loops (D, anti-codon, and T loops). Further hydrogen bonds mediate the characteristic L-shaped molecular structure. tRNAs have two regions of fundamental functional importance: the anti-codon, which is responsible for specific mRNA codon recognition, and the 3' end, to which the tRNAs corresponding amino acid is attached (by aminoacyl-tRNA synthetases). tRNAs cope with the degeneracy of the genetic code in two manners: having more than one tRNA (with a specific anti-codon) for a particular amino acid; and 'wobble' base-pairing, i.e. permitting non-standard base-pairing at the 3rd anti-codon position. Lineage: Bacteria; Pseudomonadati; Bacteroidota; Cytophagia; Cytophagales; Cytophagaceae. The record is from Rfam by way of RNAcentral.